AUUGAACGCUGGCGGCAGGCCUAACACAUGCAAGUCGAGCGAGCGGAGGACGGGUGAGUAAUGUCUGGGAAACUGCCUGAUGGAGGGGGAUAACUACUGGAAACGGUAGCUAAUACCGCAUACCAUCAGAUGUGCCCAGAUGGGAGUAGCUAGUAGGUGGGGUAAAGGCCUACCAAGGCGACGAUCCGUAACUGGUCUGAGAGGAUGAUCAGGCACACUGGAAACGAGACACGGUCCAGACUACUACGGAAGGCAGCAGGGGUGAAGAUUGGACAAUGGGCGAAAGCCUGAUCCAGCCAUGCCGCGUGUGUGAAGAAGGUCUUCGGAUUGUAAAGCACUUUAAGUUGGGAGGCGUUACCAACAGAAUAAGCACCGGCUAACUUCGUGCCAGCAGCCGCGGUAAUAC
Molecule: ribosomal RNA, 406 nt
Filed under: uncultured bacterium
Lineage: Bacteria
Description: partial 16S ribosomal RNA
Rfam family: Bacterial small subunit ribosomal RNA
Source: RNAcentral